This 308-nucleotide long non-coding RNA is filed under the name Limulus polyphemus (Atlantic horseshoe crab). Its description in RNAcentral is "uncharacterized LOC111084847, transcript variant X1". Lineage: Eukaryota; Metazoa; Arthropoda; Merostomata; Xiphosura; Limulidae. The record is from RNAcentral.
AAUGUCUAGGUACAGUCAGGUUAUGGAGUAGAUGUGGGAAUGUUAAUGUCUAGGUACAGUCAGGUUAUGGAUAGAUGUGGGAAUGUUAAUGUCUAGGUACAGUCAGGUUAUGGAGUAGAUGUGGGAAUGUUAAUGCCUAGGUACAGUCAGGUUAUGGAGUAGAUGUGGGAAUGUUAAUGCCUAGGUACAGUCAGGUUAUGGAGUAGAUGUGGGAAUGUUAAUGUCUAGGUACAGUCAGGUUAUGGAGUAGAUGUGGGAAUGUUAAUGCCUAGGUACAGUCAGGUUAUGAAUGUGUAUGGGAAUGUUAA